Molecule: ribosomal RNA, 253 nt
Filed under: uncultured bacterium
Lineage: Bacteria
Description: partial 16S ribosomal RNA
Rfam family: Bacterial small subunit ribosomal RNA
Source: RNAcentral
UACGGAGGGUGCAAGCGUUAAUCGGAAUUACUGGGCGUAAAGCGCGUGUAGGCGGCCCGGUAAGUCCGCUGUGAAAGUCCAGGGCUCAACCCUGGGAUGCCGGUGGAUACUGUCGGGCUCGAGUCCGGAAGAGGCGAGUGGAAUUCCUGGUGUAGCGGUGAAAUGCGCAGAUAUCAGGAGGAACACCAAUGGCGAAGGCAGCUCGCUGGGACGUGACUGACGCUGAGACGCGAAAGCGUGGGGAGCAAACAGG